RNAcentral lists this ribosomal RNA (452 nucleotides) under uncultured bacterium. RNAcentral's name for it is "partial 16S ribosomal RNA". It matches the Rfam family "Bacterial small subunit ribosomal RNA", at positions 355 to 824 of the family's 1533-position model. The record is from RNAcentral.
UGGGGAAUAUUGGACAAUGGGCGCAAGCCUGAUCCAGCCAUGCCGCGUGAGUGAUGAAGGCCCUAGGGUUGUAAAGCUCUUUCACCGGUGAAGAUAAUGACGGUAACCGGAGAAGAAGCCCCGGCUAACUUCGUGCCAGCAGCCGCGGUAAUACGAAGGGGGCUAGCGUUGUUCGGAUUUACUGGGCGUAAAGCGCACGUAGGCGGACUUUUAAGUCAGGGGUGAAAUCCCGGGGCUCAACCCCGGAACUGCCUUUGAUACUGGAAGUCUUGAGUAUGGUAGAGGUGAGUGGAAUUCCGAGUGUAGAGGUGAAUNNGUAUGAUGAUUCGGAAGGAACACCAGUGGCAGAAGGCGCUCACUGGACCAUUACUGACGCUGAGGUGCGAAAGCGUGGGAGCAAACAGGAUUAGAUACCCUGUAGUCCACGCCGUAAACGAUGAAUGUUAGCCGUU